AUUGAACGCUGGCGGCAGGCCUAACACAUGCAAGUCGAACGGUAGCACAGAGAGCUUGCUCUCGGGUGACGAGUGGCGGACGGGUGAGUAAUGUCUGGGAAACUGCCCGAUGGAGGGGGAUAACUACUGGAAACGGUAGCUAAUACCGCAUAACGUCGCAAGACCAAAGUGGGGGACCUUCGGGCCUCACACCACCGGAUGUGCCCAGAUGGGAUUAGCUAGUAGGUGGGAUAAUGGCUCACCUAGGCGACGAUCCCUAGCUGGUCUGAGAGGGUGGCCAGCCACACUGGAAAUGAGACACGGUACAGAAUCCUACGGGAGGCAGCAGUGGGGAAUAUUGCACAAUGGGCGCAAGCCUGAUGCAGCCAUGCAGCGUGUAUGAAGAAGGCCUUCGGGUUGUAAAGUACUUCCAGCGGGGAGGAAGGCGGUGAAGUUAAUAGCUUCACCGAUUGACGUUACCCGCAGAAGAAGCACCGGCUAACUCCGUGCCAGCCGCCGCAGUAA
This 504-nucleotide ribosomal RNA is filed under the name uncultured bacterium. Its description in RNAcentral is "partial 16S ribosomal RNA". It matches the Rfam family "Bacterial small subunit ribosomal RNA", at positions 29 to 523 of the family's 1533-position model. The record is from RNAcentral.